UGUGUGAAAGAUCUUCUCGAUUUCUUUUUGGCGCACCAACUUUUUCCUUCCUCUUUUCCAUGCCUCCCAUACCUAUUUUGAUAACAUUUGAUCUUAUCUCCUUUGAGGCAUGAGGGAUAAGGGGUUGGUGUGACAAAAAAAAUAAGAAGAUGGAGAGAGGGUGCGUGUAAGAAGAAGAGAUUCUUCUUUCUUGUGCCAACCUUCUUUAUUUUUUACAUCCCAACCCUCUUCCUCUCCUUCUCCACUUCAUC
Molecule: long non-coding RNA, 251 nt
Filed under: Elaeis guineensis (African oil palm)
Lineage: Eukaryota; Viridiplantae; Streptophyta; Magnoliopsida; Arecales; Arecaceae
Description: long non-coding RNA (EGUI_LNC037922)
Source: RNAcentral